CUGUGCUGAUGAGAGCUACACAUGUCUGAGGCCAGGUGUCAGUGCCAGACCUGAGAAGGUGAACCCACUGGUGCUGCCCUGGCACAUGGCUGACUGCUUGUUGGGAAUCCAACAGUCUGAACUGA
The sequence is a small nucleolar RNA, 125 nucleotides long. Its record names the gene SNORD22. It matches the Rfam family "Small nucleolar RNA SNORD22". Rfam says of the family: U22 is a member of the C/D class of snoRNA which contain the C (UGAUGA) and D (CUGA) box motifs. The record is from Ensembl.